RNAcentral lists this ribosomal RNA (319 nucleotides) under Clostridioides difficile. RNAcentral describes it as "partial 16S ribosomal RNA". It matches the Rfam family "Bacterial small subunit ribosomal RNA", at positions 1224 to 1533 of the family's 1533-position model. The record is from RNAcentral. Lineage: Bacteria; Bacillati; Bacillota; Clostridia; Peptostreptococcales; Peptostreptococcaceae.
GCUACAAUGGGUAGUACAGAGGGUUGCCAAGCCGUAAGGUGGAGCUAAUCCCUUAAAGCUACUCUCAGUUCGGAUUGUAGGCUGAAACUCGCCUACAUGAAGCUGGAGUUACUAGUAAUCGCAGAUCAGAAUGCUGCGGUGAAUGCGUUCCCGGGUCUUGUACACACCGCCCGUCACACCACGGGAGUUGGAGACGCCCGAAGCCGAUUAUCUAACCUUUUGGAAGAAGUCGUCGAAGGUGGAAUCAAUAACUGGGGUGAAGUCGUAACAAGGUAGCCGUAUCGGAAGGUGCGGCUGGAUCACCUCCUUUCUAAGGAGA